AUUGAACGCUGGCGGCAGGCCUAACACAUGCAAGUCGAGCGGAGCGGCGGACGGGUGAGUAAUGCCUAGGAAUCUGCCUGGUAGUGGGGGAUAACGUCCGGAAACGGACGCUAAUACCGCAUACUAUCAGAUCAGCCUCGGUCGGAUUAGCUAGUUGGUGGGGUAAAGGCGUACCAAGGCGACGAUGCGUAACUGGUCUGAGAGGAUGAUCAGUCACACUGGAACUGAGACACGGUCCAGACUCCUACGGGAGGCAGCAGUAGGGAAUAUUGGGCAAUGGGCGAAAGCCUGAUCGAGCAAUGCCGCGUGUGUGAAGAAGGUCUUCGGAUUGUAAAACACUUUUAUUUGGGAGGCGUUACCAAAAGAAAAAGCACCGGCUAACUUCGUGCCAGCAGCCGCGGUAAUAC
Molecule: ribosomal RNA, 407 nt
Filed under: uncultured bacterium
Lineage: Bacteria
Description: partial 16S ribosomal RNA
Rfam family: Bacterial small subunit ribosomal RNA
Source: RNAcentral